RNAcentral lists this ribosomal RNA (902 nucleotides) under uncultured bacterium. RNAcentral describes it as "bacterial SSU rRNA". It matches the Rfam family "Bacterial small subunit ribosomal RNA", at positions 31 to 926 of the family's 1533-position model. The record is from RNAcentral.
GAACGCUAGCUACAGGCUUAACACAUGCAAGUCGAGGGGCAUCAGGAAGAAAGCUUGCUUUCUUUGCUGGCGACCGGCGCACGGGUGAGUAACACGUAUCCAACCUGCCCUUUACUCGGGGAUAGCCUUUCGAAAGAAAGAUUAAUACCCGAUGGGAUAAUUAUUCCGCAUGGUUUGAUUAUUAAAGGAUUCCGGUAAAGGAUGGGGAUGCGUUCCAUUAGGUUGUUGGUGAGGUAACGGCUCACCAAGCCUUCGAUGGAUAGGGGUUCUGAGAGGAAGGUCCCCCACAUUGGAACUGAGACACGGUCCAAACUCCUACGGGAGGCAGCAGUGAGGAAUAUUGGUCAAUGGGCGCUAGCCUGAACCAGCCAAGUAGCGUGAAGGAUGAAGGCUCUAUGGGUCGUAAACUUCUUUUAUAUAAGAAUAAAGUGCAGUAUGUAUACUGUUUUGUAUGUAUUAUAUGAAUAAGGAUCGGCUAACUCCGUGCCAGCAGCCGCGGUAAUACGGAGGAUCCGAGCGUUAUCCGGAUUUAUUGGGUUUAAAGGGAGCGUAGGUGGACUGGUAAGUCAGUUGUGAAAGUUUGCGGCUCAACCGUAAAAUUGCAGUUGAUACUGUCAGUCUUGAGUACAGUAGAGGUGGGCGGAAUUCGUGGUGUAGCGGUGAAAUGCUUAGAUAUCACGAAGAACUCCGAUUGCGAAGGCAGCUCACUGGACUGCAACUGACACUGAUGCUCGAAAGUGUGGGUAUCAAACAGGAUUAGAUACCCUGGUAGUCCACACAGUAAACGAUGAAUACUCGCUGUUUGCGAUAUACAGUAAGCGGCCAAGCGAAAGCAUUAAGUAUUCCACCUGGGGAGUACGCCGGCAACGGUGAAACUCAAAGGAAUUGACGGAAGGGCGAAU